Molecule: ribosomal RNA, 644 nt
Filed under: uncultured fungus
Lineage: Eukaryota; Fungi
Description: LSU rRNA
Rfam family: Eukaryotic large subunit ribosomal RNA
Source: RNAcentral
GCAUAUCAAUAAGCGGAGGAAAAGAAACUAACAAGGAUUCCCCUAGUAACGGCGAGCGAAGCGGGAAGAGCUCAAAUUUGAAAGCUGGCACCUCCGGUGUCCGCGUUGUAAUCUCGAGACGUGUUUUCCGUGCGGCUCUAUGGACAAGUCCCUUGGAAUAGGGCAUCGUAGAGGGUGAGAAUCCCGUACUUGCCAUGGAAGAACCGUGCUUUGCGAUACACGCUCUAAGAGUCGAGUUGUUUGGGAUUGCAGCUCAAAAUGGGUGGUAGACUCCAUCUAAAGCUAAAUAUCGGGGAGAGACCGAUAGCGAACAAGUACCGUGAGGGAAAGAUGAAAAGCACUUUGGAAAGAGGGUUAAAAGUACGUGAAAUUGUCGAAAGGGAAGCACUUGAAGUCAGCCAUGCUGCUUGAGACUCAGCCUGGCCUUUGGGCUUGGUGUAUUUCUCGGUGGCAAGCCAGCAUUGGUUUGGGUCGUCGGAGAAGCGCAUAGGGAAUGUAGCGUUUCCGGACGUGUUAUAGCCUUAUGCAGGAUACGACGACCUGGAUCAAGGAACGCAGUGUGCCCUCUGGGCGGGUCUUCGGACACCUUCACACUUAGGAUGCUGGCGUAAUGGCUUUAAGUGGCCCGUCUUGAAACACGGACC